Molecule: non-coding RNA, 510 nt
Organism: Paramisgurnus dabryanus
Lineage: Eukaryota; Metazoa; Chordata; Actinopteri; Cypriniformes; Cobitidae
Source: RefSeq, a predicted model, not a curated record
AUGAUAACCUUAUCUUCAAGAAUAAAAUCAUUUCGUCCGAUGACCACAGAGACAUUAUAACCAGGACCCACAAACUAGAAAUUGAAUUCCUGUGCAAGUACGAGAAAAGAAGCAACCUUACAAUGGAGAUCAACUUCUCUACUAACAUUAGUAAUGAUACAUUGUGGAUGAAAAUGCUCAGAUUUUCUCAAACCGCCAACCAUACAUCGAGUUCGGGCUAGAGGCCUUUAAAUUCAUUGUGCUCCACGAGCAGGUGUUCAUCAGCUGCUCAAUCAUCAUAUCGUCACCUUCCUAAACUAAUUGCCUAAGUCAUUUUUGACAAAAAUGUUUUUAAAAAAUUGAAAUUUAUUUAAAGGAUAACCCCUUGAGAUCCGCCAUCUCGUUUUCGAGGGGGUCCUUAAAACAAACAGAAAUACAAACAACAAAUUACAAUGUAUAACUCAUAAAACAUACAUUCAUACAACAAUUAGCUCUCCAUAACAUCUCCUCACAUAUCAACACUAUAAGUAC